This 465-nucleotide ribosomal RNA is filed under the name uncultured bacterium. RNAcentral's name for it is "partial 16S ribosomal RNA". It matches the Rfam family "Bacterial small subunit ribosomal RNA", at positions 28 to 506 of the family's 1533-position model. The record is from RNAcentral.
GACGAACGCUGGCGGCGUGCUUAACACAUGCAAGUCGUGCGGUAAGGCCCUUUCGGGGGUACACGAGCGGCGAACGGGUGAGUAACACGUGAGCAACCUGCCCUUCACUUUGGGAUAACUGCCGGAAACGGUGGCUAAUACCGGAUAUGACUUCCUCACGCAUGUGGGGUGGUGGAAAGCCUUCGGGUGGUGGGGGAUGGGCUCGCGGUCUAUCCGCUUGUUGGUGGGGUGAUGGCCUACCAAGGCUUCGCCGGGUAGCCGGCCUGAGAGGGGGACCGGCCACACGGGGACGGAGACACGGCCCAGACGCCGACGGGAGGCAGCAGGGGGGAAUAUGGGACAAGGGGCGAAAGCAGGAGCCAGCAACGCCGCGUGAGGGAGGACGGCCUUCGGGUGGGAAACCGCUUUCGCCUGCGACGAAGCGAGAGGGACGGGAGCAGGGAAAGAAGCACCGGCCAACUACGG